RNAcentral lists this non-coding RNA (89 nucleotides) under Andreesenella acetica. RNAcentral's name for it is "Clostridium aceticum Glycine sequence". It matches the Rfam family "Glycine riboswitch aptamer". Rfam says of the family: This family represents the bacterial glycine riboswitch. Glycine riboswitches usually consist of two metabolite-binding aptamers domains with similar structures in tandem. The aptamers cooperatively bind glycine to regulate the expression of downstream genes. Lineage: Bacteria; Bacillati; Bacillota; Clostridia; Peptostreptococcales; Natronincolaceae. The record is from Rfam by way of RNAcentral.
GGACGAGCCUCUGGAGAGACUCUAAUGAGCACCGAAGGGGAAAGCCUUUUAAAGGUGAAACUCUCAGGUAAAAGGACAGGGGAUUUUAA